AUUGAACGCUGGCGGCAUGCUUUACACAUGCAAGUCGAACGGUAACAGGUUAAGCUGACGAGUGGCGAACGGGUAAGUAAUGCAUCGGAACGUGCCCGAUCGUGGGGGAUAACGCAGCGAAAGCUGCGCUAAUACCGCAUACGAUCUGAGGAUGAAAGCGGGGGACCGUAAGGCCUCGCGCGAUCGGAGCGGCCGAUGUCAGAUUAGGUAGUUGGUGGGGUAAAGGCUCACCAAGCCAACGAUCUGUAGCUGGUCUGAGAGGACGACCAGCCACACUGGGACUGAGACACGGCCCAGACUCCUACGGGAGGCAGCAGUGGGGAAUUUUGGACAAUGGGCGAAAGCCUGAUCCAGCAAUGCCGCGUGCAGGAAGAAGGCCUACGGGUUGUAAACUGCUUUUGUACGGAGCGAAAAGGCUCUCUCUAAUACAGGGGGCUCAUGACGGUACCGUAAGAAUAAGCACCGGCUAACUACGUGCCAGCCGCCGCAGUAA
This 493-nucleotide ribosomal RNA is filed under the name uncultured bacterium. RNAcentral describes it as "partial 16S ribosomal RNA". It matches the Rfam family "Bacterial small subunit ribosomal RNA", at positions 30 to 523 of the family's 1533-position model. The record is from RNAcentral.